Molecule: ribosomal RNA, 503 nt
Filed under: uncultured bacterium
Lineage: Bacteria
Description: partial 16S ribosomal RNA
Rfam family: Bacterial small subunit ribosomal RNA
Source: RNAcentral
AUUGAACGCUGGCGGCAGGCUUAACACAUGCAAGUCGAGCGGGGUGAUGGUGCUUGCACUAUCACUUAGCGGCGGACGGGUGAGUAAUGCUUAGGAAUCUGCCUAUUAGUGGGGGACAACAUCUCGAAAGGGAUGCUAAUACCGCAUACGUCCUACGGGAGAAAGCAGGGGAUCACUUGUGACCUUGCGCUAAUAGAUGAGCCUAAGUCGGAUUAGCCAGUUGGUGGGGUAAAGGCCUACCAAGGCGACGAUCUGUAGCGGGUCUGGAGAGGUGGUCCAGCACAGGGGGACUGAGACACGGCCCAGACUCCUACGGGAGGCAGCAGUGGGGAAUAUUGGACAAUGGGGGGAACCCGGAUCCAGCCAUGCCGCGUGUGUGAAGAAGGCCUUAUGGUUGUAAAGCACUUUAAGCGAGGAGGAGGCUCUUUUGGUUAAUACCCAAGAUGAGUGGACGUUACUCGCAGAAUAAGCACCGGCUAACUCUGUGCCAGCCGCCGCCGUAA